Molecule: ribosomal RNA, 468 nt
Filed under: uncultured bacterium
Lineage: Bacteria
Description: partial 16S ribosomal RNA
Rfam family: Bacterial small subunit ribosomal RNA
Source: RNAcentral
GACGAACGCUGGCGGCGUGCUUAACACAUGCAAGUCGAACGGAAAGGCCCUGCUUUUGUGGGGUGCUCGAGUGGCGAACGGGUGAGUAACACGUGAGUAACCUGCCCUUGUCUUUGGGAUAACUUCAGGAAACUGGGGCUAAUACCGGAUAGGAGCUACUGCUGCAUGGUGGGGGUUGGAAAGUUUCGGCGGUUGGGGCUGGACUCGCGGCUUAUCAGCUUGUUGGUGGGGUAGUGGCUUACCAAGGCUUUGAAGGGUAGCCGGCCUGAGAGGGUGACCGGCGACAUGGGGACUGAGAUACGGCCCAGACUCCUACGGGAGGCAGCAGUGGGGAAUAUUGCACAAUGGGCGGAAGCCAGAUGCAGCAACGCCGCGUGCGGGAUGACGGCCUUCGGGUUGUAAACCGCUGUCGCCUGUGACGAAGCGGGAGUGACGGUAAUGGGUAAAGAAGCACCGGCUAACUACGUG